This 465-nucleotide ribosomal RNA is filed under the name uncultured bacterium. RNAcentral describes it as "partial 16S ribosomal RNA". It matches the Rfam family "Bacterial small subunit ribosomal RNA", at positions 28 to 507 of the family's 1533-position model. The record is from RNAcentral.
GACGAACGCUGGCGGCGUGCUUAACACAUGCAAGUCGAACGGAAAGGCCCUGCUUGCAGGGUACUCGAGUGGCGAACGGGUGAGUAACACGUGGGUGAUCUGCCCUGCACUUCGGGAUAAGCCCGGGUAACUGGGUCUAAUACCGGACAGAAGCCAUUUUUAGUGUGAUGGUUGGAACGUUUUUUCGGUGUAGGAUUAGCUGGGGGCCUAUCAGCUUGUUGGUGGGGUAAUGGCCUACCAAGGCGGCGACGGGUAGCCGGCCUGAGAGGGUGGACGGCCACAGUGGGACUGGGACUGGGACAAGGCUCCGACGGGGGGGGGAGGUGGGAAAUGGUAAAAAAUGGGAGCAGGCGAGAGGCAGCUCCAGCGCGGGGGGGUGAGCGACGAAGGGGUUGUAGUUUCCUUGCGCUAGGAACGGGGAUGUUAAUGACGGUACCGGGAGAAGAAGCACCGGCUAACUACGUG